This 491-nucleotide ribosomal RNA is filed under the name uncultured bacterium. RNAcentral describes it as "bacterial SSU rRNA". It matches the Rfam family "Bacterial small subunit ribosomal RNA", at positions 903 to 1397 of the family's 1533-position model. The record is from RNAcentral.
AAAUGAAUAGACGGGGGCCCGCACAAGCAGUGGAGUAUGUGGUUUAAUUCGAAGCAACGCGAAGAACCUUACCAGGUCUUGACAUCCAGCUAACGAAGCAGAGAUGCAUUAGGUGCCCUUCGGGGAAAGCUGAGACAGGUGGUGCAUGGUUGUCGUCAGCUCGUGUCGUGAGAUGUUGGGUUAAGUCCCGCAACGAGCGCAACCCUUACUGUUAGUUGCUACGCAAGAGCACUCUAGCAGGACUGCCGUUGACAAAACGGAGGAAGGUGGGGACGACGUCAAAUCAUCAUGCCCCUUAUGACCUGGGCUACACACGUACUACAAUGGCCAUUAACAAAGAGAAGCGAAACCGCGAGGUGGAGCAAACCUAUAAAAAUGGUCUCAGUUCGGAUUGUAGGCUGAAACCCGCCUGCAUGAAGUUGGAAUUGCUAGUAAUCGCGGAUCAUAAUGCCGCGGUGAAUACGUUCCCGGGCCUUGCACACACCGCCCGU